GGUCAAGCUACUAAGGGCUUAUGGUGGAUGGCUUGGCAGAAGCAGGCGAAGAAGGACGGGGUAAGCUCCGAUAAGCUCCGGGGAGUCGCAAACAGGCAUUGAUCCGGAGAUUUCCGAAUGGGGAAACCCACUCCGAAAAAAGCGGAGUAUCUCUUACUGAAUACAUAGGUAAGAGAGGCUAACCAGGGGAAGUGAAACAUCUCAGUAUCCUGAGGAGAAGAAACCGCAGGGGAUUCCCCCAGUAGCGGCGAGCGAAAAGGGAAGAGCCUAAACUCUGGCAGUUAAUGUCAGAGGGUUGCGGGACUUUCCAUAAAGUGGUAGAGGGAUAGCAGAAUAGGCUGGAAAGCCUAACCGCAGAGGGUGAAAGUCCUGUAUGCGAAAUCCCAAAGCCACAGGGAAGUAUCCCAAGUACUACGGGACACGAGAAACCCCGUAGGAAUCCGGCCUGACCACAGGCCAAGGCUAAAUACUCGCUUCUGACCGAUAGUGCACAAGUACCGUGAGGGAAAGCUGAAAAGUACCCCGGUGAGGGGAGUGAAAUAGUACCUGAAACCAUAAGCUUACAAGCGGUCGGAGCCCUGCUUUUUCUUCAGAAAGAGUGGGGUGACGGCGUACCUUUUGCAUAAUGAGCCGGGGAGUUACUCCUGUAUAGCGAGCUUAACUCCAGUUAACUUCGGAGGUAGGCGUAGGGAAACCGAGUCCUAACUGGGCGCUUAGUUAUACAGGGUAGACCCGAAGCUGGGGUGAUCUACCCAUGGUCAGGAUGAACCUCGAGUAACAUCGGGGGGAGGUCCGAACCCGUCAGUGUUGAAAAACUGUGGGAUGAACUGUGGGUAGGAGUGAAAGGCUAAACAAACCCAGGGAUAGCUGGUUCUCCCCGAAAUAACUUUAGGGUUAGCCUCGAGAUUGGGAGAUGGGGGUAGAGUACUCGAUGGGCUAGGGACCCUACCAGGUUGCCAAACCCAACGAAACUCCGAAUACCAUUUUCCUCUAUCUCGGGAGUCAGUCUACGGGCGAUAAGGUCCGUGGUCGAGAGGGGAACAACCCAGAUCGCCAGUUAAGGUCCCUAAAUGCAGGCUAAGUGGAAAAGGAUGUGAAAUCGCUUAGACAACCGGGAUGUUGGCUUAGAGGCAGCCAUCAUUUAAAGAGUGCGUAACAGCUCACCGGUCGAUUACCUACCAUGAAAAUGGUGGGUGCGAUUUUGCGCCGACAAUAAUCGGGGCUAAGCCUGCUACCGAAGCUGCGACCCUGUACUCCAAGGUACAGAGGGUAGGGGAGCAUUCCACCACAGUGAAGCGGAAGCGUAAGCGACCGUGGAGUGAGUGGAAGAGAGAAUCCCGGUAUAAGUAGCGAAAAUCCCGAUGAGAAAUCGGGACGCCGAAAGUCUAAGGUUUCCUGGGGAAGGUUAAUCCGCCCAGGGUUAGUCGAGCCUAAGCUGAGGCCGAAGGGCGUAAGCGAUGGAGAGCCGGUUAAUAUCCCGGCACCACUUCUCUUUUGUGCUGCGCAAGCGGUAAGCCUAAGGAUGACGCAGGAAGUUAAGCCAGCUCCGUGAAGACUUACGGAGUCCAAACCUGUAGCCUCGUAUAUUCAGCGAGGUGAGGGGUGUAAGGGAGUCCGAGCUACGGCGAGGGCAAACUGGUAGAAACUAAACUGCCGAGAAACAGUCCUGAUGGCGAAAGGGAGGAGUGUUCGUACCGCAAUCCGACACAGGUAGACGGCCAGAAUAUGGUAAGGCGCUCGA
RNAcentral lists this ribosomal RNA (1741 nucleotides) under Candidatus Omnitrophota bacterium. RNAcentral's name for it is "partial 23S ribosomal RNA". It matches the Rfam family "Bacterial large subunit ribosomal RNA", at positions 1 to 1693 of the family's 2925-position model. Lineage: Bacteria; Pseudomonadati; Candidatus Omnitrophota. The record is from RNAcentral.